GAAGCACAAAGAGGCCCCACAGAGCAGCUGGUGUCCGUCUUAAACAGAAUAUCGGAGCUGAUUGAGAAAGAGACGGGAGAGUAUCACAAAGCAGACCCGGAUCCGUUUGAUGACCGUCAUCCAGGACGGGCGGACCCUGACUGCAU
Non-coding RNA from Neolamprologus brichardi, 146 nucleotides. The record is from RefSeq and is a predicted model, not a curated record. NCBI's taxonomy places the organism in Eukaryota, Metazoa, Chordata, Actinopteri, Cichliformes, Cichlidae.